UGGGGAGAGCAGGCACCCAACAGAGAGACAAAUCCACAACGGCAUGAUUAUCAACUUCAUUAUUGACAAAGAAAGGAGAACAUGUCACCAUCAUGAGCCUUUAUUUAGUUCACGGAAGAACAUCAAGGGAAAGACCCUCAGACGUGUCAUAACAGGAUAAAUGUGGCUACAGGACGCAUCACCCCACCCCAUCCCAGAUUGACCAAGGAUCCAGAUGAGUACUGGCAAUUUGGUGU
Non-coding RNA from Pimephales promelas (fathead minnow), 236 nucleotides. NCBI's taxonomy places the organism in Eukaryota, Metazoa, Chordata, Actinopteri, Cypriniformes, Leuciscidae. The record is from RefSeq and is a predicted model, not a curated record.